RNAcentral lists this ribosomal RNA (253 nucleotides) under uncultured bacterium. RNAcentral's name for it is "partial 16S ribosomal RNA". It matches the Rfam family "Bacterial small subunit ribosomal RNA", at positions 524 to 776 of the family's 1533-position model. The record is from RNAcentral.
UACGUAGGGUGCAAGCGUUGUCCGGAAUUAUUGGGCGUAAAGAGCUCGUAGGCGGUUUGUCGCGUCUGCUGUGAAAACUCGAGGCUCAACCUCGAGACGUCGGUUGAAACCAUCUGACUAGAGUCCGGAAGAGGAGAGUGGAAUUCCUGGUGUAGCGGUGAAAUGCGCAGAUAUCAGGAAGAACACCCGUGGCUAAGGCGGCUCUCUAGUACGGUACUGACGCUGAGACGCGAAAGCGUGGGGAGCGAACAGG